Molecule: ribosomal RNA, 484 nt
Filed under: uncultured bacterium
Lineage: Bacteria
Description: partial 16S ribosomal RNA
Rfam family: Bacterial small subunit ribosomal RNA
Source: RNAcentral
AUUGAACGCUGGCGGCAGGCCUAACACAUGCAAGUCGAGCGGAUGAAGGGAGCUUACUCCUGGAUUCAGCGGCGGACGGGUGAGUAAUGCCUAGGAAUCUGCCUGGUAGUGGGGGAUAACGUCCGGAAACGGGCGCUAAUACCGCAUACGUCCUGAGGGAGAAAGUGGGGGAUCUUCGAACCUCACGCUAUCAGAUGAGCCUAGGUCGGAUUAGCUAGUUGGUGGGGUAAAGGCCUACCAAGGCGACGAUCCGUAACUGGUCUGAGAGGAUGAUCAGUCACACUGGAACUGAGACACGGUCCAGACUCCUACGGGAGGCAGCAGUGGGGAAUAUUGGACAAUGGGCGAAAGCCUGAUCCAGCCAUGCCGCGUGUGUGAAGAAGGUCUUCGGAUUGUAAAGCACUUUAAGUUGGGAGGAAGGGCAGUAAGUUAAUACCUUGCUGUUUUGACGUUACCAACAGAAUAAGCACCGGCUAACUUCGUG